This is a long non-coding RNA of Portunus trituberculatus (swimming crab), 918 nucleotides long. RefSeq lists it as uncharacterized. The transcript is spliced from 2 exons. The record is from RefSeq and is a predicted model, not a curated record. Lineage: Eukaryota; Metazoa; Arthropoda; Malacostraca; Decapoda; Portunidae.
UAGUGCAGGCAAGAUAUAUGGGACUGACAUGCAAGGAUUCUUAGGGAAAGUGAACUCUACCAAGGGUGUGAGAGGGAGACGGUGACAGCUGAAUACCACCUUGAGGGUGACAGUGGUUACCUCAGUAAAAAGUGGCUUCUGACACUAUAUCUUUGACCUCUGCCUGGCCCCAUACUCCAACUACAAUAGAGAUGGUGCUCAACUUCUACAACCCGUUGCUGCAUCAUCCACCGAGAUGGUGGAUGUCUCGGCACCAGCAGGAGGUUCAGCUGUGUUUGGCGUUGGAAGUGCUGCGGUAGCAUUUGUACUGUUAUGACCAUUGACAACAAAUGUUAGUUAAACCAUCACAAGCAUAUCUAUUGCGGAUCUAUCUCACUAUCUAUAUAAGAGGUGAACAAUCCUCUCAAGGAGGAAGUAUCCAAGACAAGUCACCCUUCCCUCUUCCUGUCCCCAUACUCCUCAUUCACAGUGUAAGUGUAUAUGGUAUGUGUGUGCUUGCCUCAUUUUUUGCUGUCCUCCUCCUGGAGGAGGGUGUUGGCUUUGUCUAUACAUAGUUAGAUAGUUAAUGUCCCUACACUUCAGUUUUAAAGAUAUUUUGUAUGCUCUUAUUGAUAUUUUCAGCAGGAAAGUAAGGUAUUGUUAUUGUGUUGCAGACAGGUACAGAGUGCACUUGUCAUUAAGACACUUUCAUGUGUGGAUGCAUUCCUUGUGAGCUGCCAUUUCCAACCAUAUACACACCUUCCAUAAUUGAAUAUCAACAUUGGAAAUUCUUCAAAUCAAUGAGACCCAUCAGUUUGAUUAGGUUAAGUUACUGAAGUUAUACCAUGUUAGUUUAGGGUUAAAGUUAGUUAUGUGUAAGCUGGCAGAAGUUGUCCUUUAUAUCUGGAAGCAUUAAAUACAAUAAAUAGAUAGUUUGUU